Molecule: ribosomal RNA, 393 nt
Filed under: uncultured bacterium
Lineage: Bacteria
Description: partial 16S ribosomal RNA
Rfam family: Bacterial small subunit ribosomal RNA
Source: RNAcentral
AUACGGAGGAUCCGAGCGUUAUCCGGAUUUAUUGGGUUUAAAGGGUGCGCAGGCGGGAGAUUAAGUCGGCGGUGAAAUUUUGCAGCUCAACUUGAAAAGUGCCUUCGAAACUGGUUUCCUUGAGUGUAGAUGAAGGAGGCGGAAUUUGUGGGGUAGCGGUGAAAUGCAUAGAUAUCACGAGGAACUCCGAUUGCGCAGGCAGCUUACUAAACUACUACUGACGCUCAGGCACGAAGGCGUGGGGAUCAAACAGGAUUAGAUACCCUGGUAGUCCACGCAGUAAACGAUGAUUACUAGCUGUUUGCGAUACAAUGUAAGCGGCUGAGCGAAAGCGUUAAGUAAACCACCUGGGGAGUACGUUCGCAAGAAUGAAACUCAAAGGAAUUGACGGGG